Molecule: ribosomal RNA, 907 nt
Filed under: uncultured bacterium
Lineage: Bacteria
Description: bacterial SSU rRNA
Rfam family: Bacterial small subunit ribosomal RNA
Source: RNAcentral
ACGCUGGCGGCAGGCUUAACACAUGCAAGUCGAACGGUAGCAGGAGAAAGCUUGCUUUCUUGCUGACGAGUGGCGGACGGGUGAGUAAUGCUUGGGAAUCUGGCUUAUGGAGGGGGAUAACUACGGGAAACUGUAGCUGAUACCGCGUAGAAUCGGAAGAUGAAAGUGCGGGACCGUAAGACCGCAUGCCAUGAGAUGAGCCCAAGUGGGAUUAGGUAGUUGGUGGGGUAAAGGCCUACCAAGCCUGCGAUCUCUAGCUGGUCUGAGAGGAUGGCCAGCCACACUGGAACUGAGACACGGUCCAGACUCCUACGGGAGGCAGCAGUGGGGAAUAUUGCGCAAUGGGGGGAACCCUGACGCAGCCAUGCCGCGUGAAUGAAGAAGGCCUUCGGGUUGUAAAGUUCUUUCGGUAUUGAGGAAGGUUGAUGUGUUAAUAGUACAUCAAAUUGACGUUAAAUACAGAAGAAGCACCGGCUAACUCCGUGCCAGCAGCCGCGGUAAUACGGAGGGUGCGAGCGUUAAUCGGAAUAACUGGGCGUAAAGGGCACGCAGGCGGUUAUUUAAGUGAGGUGUGAAAGCCCCGGGCUUAACCUGGGAAUUGCAUUUCAGACUGGGUAACUAGAGUACUUUAGGGAGGGGUAGAAUUCCACGUGUAGCGGUGAAAUGCGUAGAGAUGCGGAGGAAUACCGAAGGCGAAGGCAGCCCCUUGGGAAUGUACUGACGCUCAUGUGCGAAAGCGUGGGGAGCAAACAGGAUUAGAUACCCUGGUAGUCCACGCUGUAAACGCUGUCGAUUUGGGGAUUGGGCUUAAAGCUUGGUGCCCGUAGCUAACGUGAUAAAUCGACCGCCUGGGGAGUACGGCCGCAAGGUUAAAACUCAAAUGAAUUGACGGGGGCCCGCACAAGCG